Molecule: ribosomal RNA, 1210 nt
Filed under: Chryseobacterium aquaticum
Lineage: Bacteria; Pseudomonadati; Bacteroidota; Flavobacteriia; Flavobacteriales; Weeksellaceae
Description: bacterial SSU rRNA
Rfam family: Bacterial small subunit ribosomal RNA
Source: RNAcentral
UGAGAGCGGCGCACGGGUGCGGAACACGUGUGCAACCUGCCUUUAUCUGGGGGAUAGCCUUUCGAAAGGAAGAUUAAUACCCCAUAAUAUAUUGAGUGGCAUCACUUGAUAUUGAAAACUCCGGUGGAUAGAGAUGGGCACGCGCAAGAUUAGAUAGUUGGUGAGGUAACGGCUCACCAAGUCAAUGAUCUUUAGGGGGCCUGAGAGGGUGAUCCCCCACACUGGUACUGAGACACGGACCAGACUCCUACGGGAGGCAGCAGUGAGGAAUAUUGGACAAUGGGUGAGAGCCUGAUCCAGCCAUCCCGCGUGAAGGACGACUGCCCUAUGGGUUGUAAACUUCUUUUAUACUGGGAUAAACCUACCCUUCGUGAGGGUAGCUGAAGGUACAGUAUGAAUAAGCACCGGCUAACUCCGUGCCAGCAGCCGCGGUAAUACGGAGGGUGCAAGCGUUAUCCGGAUUUAUUGGGUUUAAAGGGUCCGUAGGCGGACUCGUAAGUCAGUGGUGAAAUCUCAUAGCUUAACUAUGAAACUGCCAUUGAUACUGCGGGUCUUGAGUAAAGUAGAAGUGGCUGGAAUAAGUAGUGUAGCGGUGAAAUGCAUAGAUAUUACUUAGAACACCAAUUGCGAAGGCAGGUCACUAUGUUUUAACUGACGCUGAUGGACGAAAGCGUGGGGAGCGAACAGGAUUAGAUACCCUGGUAGUCCACGCCGUAAACGAUGCUAACUCGUUUUUGGGUUUUCGGAUUCAGAGACUAAGCGAAAGUGAUAAGUUAGCCACCUGGGGAGUACGUUCGCAAGAAUGAAACUCAAAGGAAUUGACGGGGGCCCGCACAAGCGGUGGAUUAUGUGGUUUAAUUCGAUGAUACGCGAGGAACCUUACCAAGGCUUAAAUGGGAAUUGACAGGUUUAGAAAUAGAUCCUUCUUCGGACAAUUUUCAAGGUGCUGCAUGGUUGUCGUCAGCUCGUGCCGUGAGGUGUUAGGUUAAGUCCUGCAACGAGCGCAACCCCUGUCACUAGUUGCCAUCAUUCAGUUGGGGACUCUAGUGAGACUGCCUACGCAAGUAGAGAGGAAGGUGGGGAUGACGUCAAAUCAUCACGGCCCUUACGCCUUGGGCCACACACGUAAUACAAUGGCCGGUACAGAGGGCAGCUACUAUGCGAAUAGAUGCGAAUCUCGAAAGCCGGUCUCAGUUCGGAUUGGAGUCUG